UAACAAGGUCUCCGUAGGUGAACCUGCGGAGGGAUCAUUACACAAUAAAAUACGAAGGCCGUUCGCGGCUGGACUAUUUAUUACCCUUGUCUUUUGCGCACUUGUUGUUUCCUGGGCGGGUUCGCUCGCCACCAGGACCACAAUAUAAACCUUUUUUAUGCAGUUGCAAUCAGCGUCAGUAUAACAAAUGUAAAUCAUUUACAACUUUCAACAACGGAUCUCUUGGUUCUGGCAUCGAUGAAGAACGCAGCGAAAUGCGAUACGUAGUGUGAAUUGCAGAAUUCAGUGAAUCAUCGAAUCUUUGAACGCACAUUGCGCCCUUUGGUAUUCCAAAGGGCAUGCCUGUUCGAGCGUCAUUUGUACCCUCAAGCUUUGCUUGGUGUUGGGCGUUUUUGUCUUUGGCCCGCCAAAGACUCGCCUUAAAAUGAUUGGCAGCCGGCCUACUGGUUUCGCAGCGCAGCACAUUUUUGCGCUUGCAAUCAGCAAAAGAGGACGGCAAUCCAUCAAGACUCCUUCUCACGUUUGACCUCGGAUCAGGUAGGGAUACCCGCUGAACUUAAGCAUAUC
RNAcentral lists this unclassified non-coding RNA (567 nucleotides) under Curvularia spicifera. RNAcentral describes it as "sequence contains 18S rRNA gene, ITS1, 5.8S rRNA gene, ITS2, 28S rRNA gene". The stretch from base 203 to 356 matches the Rfam family "5.8S ribosomal RNA". The record is from RNAcentral. Lineage: Eukaryota; Fungi; Ascomycota; Dothideomycetes; Pleosporales; Pleosporaceae.